UCCCUGAUGGUCCAGUGGCUAAAAAUCUGCACUCCCAAUGCAGGUGGCCUGGGUUUGAUCCCUGGUCAGGGAA
This is a non-coding RNA of Bos taurus (domestic cattle), 73 nucleotides long. NCBI's taxonomy places the organism in Eukaryota, Metazoa, Chordata, Mammalia, Artiodactyla, Bovidae. The record is from Rfam.